CCGCGUGUGUGAUGAAGGUCUUCGGGUCGUAAAGCACUGUGGGGAGAGACGAACAUGCGCAGGAGGAAAUGCCUGCGUUCUGACGGUACCUCCUUAGCAAGCACCGGCUAACUCUGUGCCAGCAGCCGCGGUAAUACAGAGGGUGCGAACGUUGCUCGGAUUUACUGGGCGUAAAGCGCGUGUAGGCGGACUCGCAAGUCGGUUGUGAAAUCCCUGGGCUUAACCUAGGAACUGCAUCCGAAACUGCUUGUCUUGAGUAAUGGAGAGGGUGGCGGAAUUCCCGGUGUAGAGGUGAAAUUCGUAGAUAUCGGGAGGAACAUCAGUGGCGAAGGCGGCCACCUGGACAUUUACUGACGCUGAGACGCGAAAGCGUGGGGAGCAAACAGGAUUAGAUACCCUGGUAGUCCACGCCGUAAACGAUGAGAACUAGGUGCAGCGGAUAUUGACCUCUGCUGUGCCGUAGCUAACGCGUUAAGUUCUCCGCCUGGGGAGUACGGCCGCAAGGCUAAAACUCAAAGGAAUUGACGGGGGCCCGCACAAGCAGUGGAGCAUGUGGUUUAAUUCGAAGCAACGCGCAGAACCUUACCAGGGCUAGACAAACUAAGAACCCGAAUGAAAGUUUGGGGUGCUCGCAAGAGAGCUUAGGUCCAGGUGCUGCAUGGCUGUCGUCAGCUCGUGUCGCGAGAUGUUGGGUUAAGUCCCGCAACGAGCGCAACCCUUAUCCUUAGUUGCCAUCAUUUAGUUGGGCUCUCUAAGGAGACUGCCGGGGUCAACCCGGAGGAAGGUGGGGAUGACGUCAAGUCCUCAUGGCCCUUAUGUCCUGGGCUACACACGUGCUACAAUGGUCGGUACAAUGCGCUGCGAAGCCGCGAGGUGGAGCGAAUCGCAAAAAGCCGGCCUCAGUACGGAUUGCACUCUGCAACUCGAGUGGCAUGAAGUCGGAAUUGCUAGUAAUCGCUGAUCAGCAGGCAGCGGUGAAUACGUUCCCGGGCCUUGUACACACCGCCCGUCACACCAUGGGAGUCGAGUGCUCCAGAAGUGGCCACGCUAACCCGCAAGGGAGGCAGGUCCCCAAGGAGUGUUUGGUAACUGGGGUGAAGUCGUAACAAGGUAACC
RNAcentral lists this ribosomal RNA (1116 nucleotides) under uncultured Myxococcales bacterium. RNAcentral's name for it is "bacterial SSU rRNA". It matches the Rfam family "Bacterial small subunit ribosomal RNA", at positions 397 to 1501 of the family's 1533-position model. The record is from RNAcentral. Lineage: Bacteria; Pseudomonadati; Myxococcota; Myxococcia; Myxococcales.